GACGAACCGUGCGAACGUUAUUCGGAAUCACUGGGCUUAAAGCGUGUGUAGGCGGGUCGGAACGUCGGUCGCUGAAAUCCCCCGGCUUAACCGGGGAACGGGCGCCGAAACGGCCGGCCUGGAGGGACGUAGGGGGAACUGGAACUUCCGGUGGAGCGGUGAAAUGCGUUGAGAUCGGAAGGAACGCCCGUGGCGAAAGCGGGUUCCUGGACGUCUGCUGACGCUGAGACGCGAAAGCCAGGGGAGCGAACGGG
This 254-nucleotide ribosomal RNA is filed under the name uncultured bacterium. RNAcentral describes it as "partial 16S ribosomal RNA". It matches the Rfam family "Bacterial small subunit ribosomal RNA", at positions 524 to 776 of the family's 1533-position model. The record is from RNAcentral.